Bos taurus (domestic cattle) is the source of this 721-nucleotide long non-coding RNA. Lineage: Eukaryota; Metazoa; Chordata; Mammalia; Artiodactyla; Bovidae. The record is from Ensembl.
CCACAUGGACCUUCCCAAACACCUCAUCUGAAAGUGGCACAUGCCCCUGUUUCCCUCACUCCCUGUACCCCAGUCUUGCUUUGUUUUCUCCACCAGCUGAAUCAAUAUCUAUCCUAUGUUUUCCUUUUCGUUUCUUGCCAGUCCUCCCAGCCUCCAGUAAAACAUGAGGUUCAUGAAGACAGAGGCUUGUGUGGUUUUUAUCUCGUUGCUGUAGUCUCCAUAGAAGAUGUGCUCCACGUGUCCAGUGAAUGAACGGUUGACCCGUUCUGCACGUGUGGCUCCAGUUAUAAUUGAUUGAGCCAGGAAUGAGUCCCUAGUUCCGGGGCAGCUUCCCACUGCUGGGCCAAUGGCCUUGGAGGGGGUCUGGCAUGAGAGUCAUGCUGACAGGCUGACCCCAUCAGACUCCGCUGUGAGACACGGGGAGGGACACUACAGUAGGGUGAGACCGAAGCAAAGAGCCACAGAGACAAGGCCGCAGACGCUCAAGGCAGGGGAGUAACAGGAGUGGAGACAGGGAAGAGCUGCGUCACCGUCACGAUGGAGAAACCUCGAUUAUCGGGUCUGAUAAUCCCAGAGAAGGACUCGGGAAACGCCGGGUCAAUGGUCAUUUCUUCAGAGAGGGCUUCCCAAGUCAUCUGACCUACAGGAAUUAACAAACAGACUUGAAACAAUCAGCAAUUUGAGGUCUCUGGGCCCCUCAGCUCAGCUCAUCCGGAUGUCG